ACCUCGUGGUUGGGACAUUGCAUGAUUUUUCCCUUGAACUUAUCCCAUACUUUAUACAAGGAUUCUCCAUUCAAUUGCCUAAAGUUCAUAAUCUUAUCACGCAAUU
Small nucleolar RNA from Capsicum annuum, 106 nucleotides. NCBI's taxonomy places the organism in Eukaryota, Viridiplantae, Streptophyta, Magnoliopsida, Solanales, Solanaceae. The record is from RefSeq and is a predicted model, not a curated record.